GACGAACGCUGGCGGCGUGCUUAACACAUGCAAGUCGAACGGAAAGGCCCGGCUUUUGUGGGGUGGGUGAGUGGCGAACGGGUGAGUAACACGUGAGUAACCUGCCCUUGACUUUGGGAUAACUUCAGGAAACUGGAGCUAAUACCGGAUAGGAGCUAUUGCUGUUGGGUGGGGGUGGGUAAGUUUCGGUGGUUGGGGGUGGAGUAGCGGCUUAUGAGCUGGUUGGUGGGGUGGUGGCUGACCAAGGCUUUGACGGGUAGCCGGCCUGGGAGGGUGAGCGGCCACGUUGGGCCUAGGAUGCGACCCGGACCCGAACGGGACGCGAGGGUGGAGUAGGUGAUACCAGGGAGGGGAGCCUGAGCUGGACCAGCCGCGCCCGGUGUGUGGUCAAUCGCUUUGGGUACUGAUUUUGCCUUUACCGGGGGGUUAGUGACGGUACUGGGUAAAGAAGCACCGGCUAACUACGUG
RNAcentral lists this ribosomal RNA (468 nucleotides) under uncultured bacterium. Its description in RNAcentral is "partial 16S ribosomal RNA". It matches the Rfam family "Bacterial small subunit ribosomal RNA", at positions 28 to 507 of the family's 1533-position model. The record is from RNAcentral.